AGCGAACGCUGGCGGCAGGCCUAACACAUGCAAGUCGAACGGCAGCACAGUAAGAGCUUGCUCUUACGGGUGGCGCGUGGCGGACGGGUGGGGAAUACAUCGGAAUCUACUUUUUCGUGGGGGAUAACGUAGGGAAACUUACGCUAAUACCGCAUACGACCUACGGGUGAACGCAGGGGAUCUUCGGACCUUGCGCGAUUGAAUGAGCCAAGGUCGGAUGAGCUAGUUGGCGGGGUAAAGGCCCACCAAGGCGACGAUCCGUAGCGGGUCUGAAAGGAUGGUUAGCCACACUGGAAGUGAGACACGGCCCAGACACCUACGGGGGGCAGCAGUCGGGAAUAUUGGGCGAGGGAGGAGAGGCUGAUACAGCAAAACCGCGGGAAUGAAGAAGGAGUUAGGGUGGGAGAGCGCUGUUGUUGGGAGGGAAGAACAGCUCGUUAAUCCCCGACUAUACUGACGGUACCGAAAGAAUAAGCACCGGCUAACUUCGUG
RNAcentral lists this ribosomal RNA (492 nucleotides) under uncultured bacterium. RNAcentral describes it as "partial 16S ribosomal RNA". It matches the Rfam family "Bacterial small subunit ribosomal RNA", at positions 30 to 507 of the family's 1533-position model. The record is from RNAcentral.